RNAcentral lists this transfer RNA (85 nucleotides) under Paludihabitans sp. RNAcentral's name for it is "tRNA-Leu". It matches the Rfam family "tRNA". Rfam says of the family: Transfer RNA (tRNA) molecules are approximately 80 nucleotides in length. Their secondary structure includes four short double-helical elements and three loops (D, anti-codon, and T loops). Further hydrogen bonds mediate the characteristic L-shaped molecular structure. tRNAs have two regions of fundamental functional importance: the anti-codon, which is responsible for specific mRNA codon recognition, and the 3' end, to which the tRNAs corresponding amino acid is attached (by aminoacyl-tRNA synthetases). tRNAs cope with the degeneracy of the genetic code in two manners: having more than one tRNA (with a specific anti-codon) for a particular amino acid; and 'wobble' base-pairing, i.e. permitting non-standard base-pairing at the 3rd anti-codon position. Lineage: Bacteria; Bacillati; Bacillota; Clostridia; Eubacteriales; Oscillospiraceae. The record is from RNAcentral. RNAcentral also lists the same sequence under 1 other name.
GCGGGUAUGGCGGAAUUGGCAGACGCGCAGGAUUUAGGUUCCUGUGAAAUCAUUCGUGUGGGUUCGACUCCCACUACCCGCACCA